RNAcentral lists this ribosomal RNA (253 nucleotides) under uncultured bacterium. RNAcentral describes it as "partial 16S ribosomal RNA". It matches the Rfam family "Bacterial small subunit ribosomal RNA", at positions 524 to 776 of the family's 1533-position model. The record is from RNAcentral.
UACGAAGGGUGCGAGCGUUGUUCGGAAUUACUGGGCGUAAAGGGUUCGUAGGCGGGAAUGUAAGUUGGAUGUGAAAACCCCGGGCUUAACCUGGGACGUGCAUCCAAAACUGCGUUUCUUGAGUGUCUGAGAGGGUCGUGGAAUUGCUGGUGUAGGAGUGACAUCCGUAGAGAUCAGCAGGAACACCGGAGGCGAAAGCGACGACCUGGCAGAACACUGACGCUGAGGAACGAAAGCGUGGGGAGCAAACAGG